UUGAAUGUGAAAGUUUUGCUUACAGUUUUCUUCGAUUGCAGGGGCGUGGUGCAUCAUGAGUUCUUGCCACAAGGUAGAACGGUGAAUAAGGAGUAUUAUCUGCAAGUUAUGCGCAAUUUGCGCGAAGCAAUCCACCAGAAUCGCCCGAAUUUGUGGUAAAACAAAAAUUGGCUUUUGCACCACGAUAACGCCCCUGCUCACACAUCGCUGCUUGUACGCGACUUCUUGGCCAAAAGCAACACACUAAUGAUAACGCAGCCACCGUAUUCCCCAGAUUUGGCCCCCUGUGACUUUUUCUUGUUUCCGAAACUGAAGGCCCAUGAAAGGACGACGCUACGCCACGAUUUACGAGAUAGAGAUGGCAUCGAAGGAGGAGCUGAACAAGAUACAAAAAAAUGAUUUUUUGAAGUGCUUUGAAGAUUGGAAAAAACGUUGGCAUAAGUGUAUAAUAUCCCAGGGGGAUUACUUUUAAGGGAAUAAAAUCACGAAUAAAUAAAUAAUUUUUGAAAAUACACAAAAUUCACGAUACUUUUUGAACACACCUCGUAUAUCAAGUCUCUACAACUUUUCUGUUAGGAGUUCUUUUACCUUUUUACUCUGAGUUAGUACAUUACUUCUUUAGAAAUUCAUACACCUAGUUUCAAAUCUCUUAGUACCUUUUUAUCAAGAAUCAUUCCAUAGAUGAGAUGGACAAUGAUAACAUUUGUGGGUUCUUAGUAUUUUCAGAUUUUCCUAAAUUUAACUUAACCAUGAGUUUUAUAAUUGCCAAUAAUUCCCAUAAGAUGUGCAUAUACAGUCCUGUUUCAUAUAAGGUGAGCAACUUUUAGAAUAAAAAAAUUGCUCUCACCAUAAUUUCAACGUGUUUUUAAUUUUGAAUAAAAUAUUCAGUAAAUUAAAGCACAAUAAAUCAAAAUUAACAUGAAGGUUAUUUAAAAUAAAUAUUACAUUUUUAUAUGCAUAAUUGUAUUAUUCCUUUACAUAAUUGGUGGUUAUGUGUUUACCUCUAUGAAUGAACAGAUAAUUGUCCGAAUUCAUUUGUAUAUGUCUGUUAAUUAUGAAUUUUGAUAGGUUUACAUUAAAAUCAGUUGCUCAUACAACAGAAAAAAUAAAUUUUAUUAAAAAUAAUGGUGUUUAUUCAAAUAACACUCCUGAAGUAAUCAAUAAACAAUUUUUAUUGUUGUUGUUUUGUCAAAUUUUCUUUGUUUUAGUUUUGUUUGUUUCUGUCGAACAGAUUUAUCUUUUCCUGAACAUUUUGUAGUUGUGAACAAUGCCAAUUUGUUGAUAUGUUGUUAUGUACCCAGGAAAGAUGAUGGAGUCGAAGGUGCAUCCCCUGGUCAUAGGCACUCACUACUGUACUACCACUGCAUCUUCAAGUUCAAACUGUCAUCCAGGGAAGGAAGUCGUCUGCCUGUAAACAACAAUGUCCACGACAAUCGUUGAUCCCGUCACCUGUCAAGUGCGUUCUGUUAUAUGAUUCUUGUCUACAAAAGGAUUAUCGGCUGCUGAACUUCAUCGGGGGUUAUGCGUAAUUUAUGGACCGUCAGCUAUGAGUGCAGGAAAGGUUAGACAAUGACGUGGUGAUUUUUAAGAUGGCCGAACAAAUGUCCAUGACAAAGAGCGGAGUGGCCGGCCCAGUAUCCUGACUGAUGGAAUUGUUUCAUAAGUAGACCAAAAACUGUGAUCUGAUCGUCGAUUGAUGAUUAAUGGCCUGGCUGAAGAAUUCCUCAACUUGGACGCACUACUGUGUACAAUAUUGUAACAGAAAAUCUCAGAUACUCAAAAUUGUGUGCAAGGUGGGUACCAAAAAUGCUGACCAACCACAAAGAGUAAAGAAUGUCCAACGGAUGAGAGUUUUCUGGUCGUUACGAUCAAGGUGGAGAGGAUUUGUUUUCUCGCAUUUUUAAUGGGGACGAUACAUGGAUCCAUGUCAAUCCAGAGAUUAAACAGCAAUGACGACACUCAUCUUCACCAAAACCAAAAAAAGUUUAAACAAACUCUGUACACAAGUCAAACAUUGAUAGCUACCGUUUUUGGGACAUAAAGGGGUUCUUUUAGUAGAUGUUUUGGAAUGUGGGACAACAAUUACAGCUUAUGUGUACUGCAAAAAUAGCUGAACAAACUGAGACGCAAUCCAGAAACAAAUGACGCGGGUAACUGUCAUUCGGUUUAAUCCUCCCUCUCCAUAAUGUGCAUCCUCACAUUGCAGCAAAACUAUAGUCCUGACCUUGCAACUAGCGACUACAUCAUGUUCUUGCACAUGAAAUGGUGGUUCGGUGGACAAGUUUUUGAGACCGAAGAGGAACUAAGAAUGGUGUUUUGUAUUGGUUCAACUCUCAGGUGGCGAACUUCUGUGCAGAGGUGUUAAAGAAGCUGGUGCAGUGGUACGAAAAAUGCUUACAAGUGAAAAGCAAUUAUGUAGAGAAGUGAAGUAGGUUUAUAGCUUACUAAAUAUGCUAAUAAAAUGUGUUUCUUAUGAAUUUAUUUUUUCCUGUGACCAAACAGCCUAUACUUAAGAAUAUGCCUUAUAUAUGCGUAUCAGACUGUAUAAGAUACCGUCCUGUGUCACUUUGCCUCACAAGCUUUCAGUCCUUCAUACUUAGAGCUAAUAGUUACUGUGUAUUAAUAUUUUAUUUGUAUUGCUAUAGGCCAAUUUAUUGAUUACGUAAUAAGAUUUUAAAACAGAUGAUCGUGAUACAAAAAAUUAACUACAUUUCACAAUGAGUGAAGUCAAUAAAAUAAUUUCAUAUUAUUAUACAAAUUGAAUUUUAUUUACCUGGCUAUAUGAUAAAGGUUCUCUUUUUAUUCUUGGGCAUAUACAUAAAUUAGUUUCUAUGUUAAAUGGUUUUCAUUACAAAGUCUAUUGUAACUAAGAAUGUUAUUUAAUGGUCAAUAAAGAUCUUGAAUGUUUCUUGUGUCGAUAAUGUGAAGGUCACCAGGAUGUUGAUUAUGCCCUGAACUUUCAUGUUAAACCUUCAUAAUUUGUCAGCCAUCAAUUCAACCAGAAACUUCUUGGGUUGCUUCCUCAAGUUCUACAUAGACAUCUACAUAUACAACAAGGGUUACAUAUGUGUAUUCCAAAUAAUAAUGAGCCUGUGACUAAAUUUUAGUUUUUGGUUGACAAUGUUGUCCCAUAGAUGACGAUUUAUUGUGAGACGAAUGCGAUACCUCCCAUGCUGAUUCUAAAUCCGGUAUAUGUAUGACCAUCUUGGAUAGAAAGAAAUAUUGAUUAGAAUUAUUGAAAUAUUGAAUUAUUGAUUAGAAAUACAGUGAUUAUACAGAAUUUUAAAAUCUCUUUUUAUUCCUAUUUCAAACUCUUUUUAUACAAGAACAUGAAAAUGUCAGAACUAUAAUUUAUUGGAGAAAAGAAGAAAUUUUUAAGACUUGUUUUUGUGAUUACUUCUCCUGUUUGUGUUGAUUCUACUGCUGUGGCUAAAGUUUUAAAAUAAGAUUGCCACUCAUGGUGAUAAUCUCAGUAAAGCCAAAAAUCUGGCAUUUUAUCGAGAACAUUUCACUAUUGUAAAAUUCAAGAAAUUAAUUGUUUUUAUGAGUCUAUGAGUUUGUGGAAGAAAGACACCAAUAUUGACCUCUACAGUAGCUUAUGGGUAAGGCUUUGACUACUUUUGGAUUUAAUACCCAAAAUUAGAAUUUCAUUGGUAUAGCAAGAAAUAAAACAUCCAGUUUCGUACCUAUGCUGGGACUUUAUAUGUAUUGUGAGAUGAGGCAUACAAAGUCAAAGUAGAUGUACAUUCCACGGUAGAAAAAUUAUAUUUAAAUUCUGUUAUUACACGUGUUAAUGAACAAACCUCUGAUUAUAAAGUGUACAAGAUUCCUUUAGUCUUGUUGUAAAGAACUAACAGUCAUGUGUGUAUUUUACUAUUUUUUUUUAUUAUGAAUCUGUUAAGAUUCAAUUACUUUAUAUUAUGCUGUUGAGGCAACCACAGUAACUCGGACAGAAGAUUCUAACAUAACUUAAUUUUAGUUACGAAGCUACUUUUCCUAGACUACAGGGUCUACAGUAGAAAGAGUACACUAUAGUAAAGAUGUCUAGAGUACCAUUUUCAGUUGAAAUUAGUCAAACUUUUUUAUUUGUGAAUGACAUAAAAAAAGAGUUUAAUCUUUUUUUAAUGACCAACUUUUUAACAAUCUAACUUUGCUAGAUGGUAUUAAAUUUGUCUUUACAGGUACUUUGUAUAAAGGGAAUUUGUGUAUUCAAUAUUUAAAUAUUUUAUAUAUUUGCAACUUUUUCAUAGAUUUUUUAAAAUUAUUUGGUUUUGUAGGUUUUUAUUAGUGAUAAAAAUUGAUUUCUUGCUAAAAAGAUUAUAUUUGUUGUAUAAAAUAGUAUUUAUAUCUCAAUUAUGAUGCUUAUUUAUCCAUCUAUCUAUCUAUAUAUGAAUAUUUGCCUGUAUGUCCUUUAUAGAAUCGUAAACUAUGUGACCGAUCAUUAUGAACAUUUGUAUGUAUUUUUCUAAGGAGAAGGUUUAUAUGCUAUGCCCAUUGAUGUCAUUCACCACCAGUCGACACUGUAAUGUUAAAGUACCUGCACAUUACAAACUCCAAUUACAAGCCAGUUAUGUGUAUUAAACAGCCAAACACUAUAUGGAAGCGCUAAGUUAUAAUUGAUAUUUGUCUUUAAAAUUAAUUUCAUGUUGAAAUUGAAGCUUGAGUGUUAUUCCACUUUAUAAUGAAGUACAUUUACAUAUACAGUACACUUUAGACAGAUUUUCCUGAGUGUGACAUCAAGGCAAACUCUACAUCAGUGUUGGAAGCAUGUGAAGCUGCAGGAAACAGCUAGUAUUACUAUAAAUGGUACCUAAUAUCUACAGUAUGUAUUUUUGUCUCCACAAUAUACAUAAUAUAAGCUAGUUGUUAAAAAUGAAAAAGAUGCAUAGGCUACAUGUGAUUGUAUUUUAUCUUGUUUAUUAUGUAUUGUUAUAAAUUAUAGUGUACUUUUGAAGUUCUCAAGUGAUGGAAGUUCUGAUCAAUAAAAAAAGUUUGUUAAUCUAAACUAUUGACAAGUGAUGCUGUAUAACUUUGUUCCUGUAGCAUAAUUCUAUUAUGUAAGAGUAAUUAUAAGUAUAUUUUUGUAAAUGUGUUUUAGUAUUGUUAAUUUCUUUACACAGUAAAGAUUUUAUAAGAGUGAAA
This 5142-nucleotide long non-coding RNA is filed under the name Homalodisca vitripennis (glassy-winged sharpshooter). RNAcentral's name for it is "uncharacterized LOC124356076, transcript variant X2". The record is from RNAcentral. Lineage: Eukaryota; Metazoa; Arthropoda; Insecta; Hemiptera; Cicadellidae.